GACGAACGCUGGCGGCGUGCUUAACACAUGCAAGUCGAACGGAAAGGCCCUGCUUUUGUGGGGUGCUCGAGUGGCGAACGGGUGAGUAACACGUGAGUAACCUGCCCUUGACUUUGGGAUAACUUCAGGAAACUGGGGCUAAUACCGGAUAGGAGCUCCUGCUGCAUGGUGGGGGUUGGAAAGUUUCGGCGGUUGGGGAUGGACUCGCGGCUCAUCAGCUUGUUGGUUGGGUAGUGGCUUACCAAGGCCUUGACGGGUAGCCGGCCUGAGAGGGGGACCGGCCACGUUGGGACUGAAAUACGGCCCAGACUCCUACGGGAGGCAGCAGUGGAGAAUAUUGCACAAUGGGCUGAAGCCUGAUGCAGCAACGCCGCGUGCGGGAUGACGGCCUUCGGGUUGUAAACCGCUGUCGCCUGUGACGAAGCGUGAGUGACGGUAAUGGGUAAAGAAGCACCGGCUAACUACGUG
RNAcentral lists this ribosomal RNA (468 nucleotides) under uncultured bacterium. RNAcentral describes it as "partial 16S ribosomal RNA". It matches the Rfam family "Bacterial small subunit ribosomal RNA", at positions 28 to 507 of the family's 1533-position model. The record is from RNAcentral.